Long non-coding RNA from Hibiscus syriacus, 2141 nucleotides. RefSeq lists it as uncharacterized. NCBI's taxonomy places the organism in Eukaryota, Viridiplantae, Streptophyta, Magnoliopsida, Malvales, Malvaceae. The record is from RefSeq and is a predicted model, not a curated record. The transcript has 8 exons.
UGGAUAAUUAUUCUACUGACAGGUACGGACACUUUUGUCUGUUAACCUUGUUUUUAGUAGACUACAAUUCUGCAAGUGCUGAAGGUACUCCUUACUGCUAUAGCAUCCAUGAAGUUCAAACUUCAGAGGUAAAUUGUUAGGGGACCAAAAUGACAAUGGAACAAGUUUAGGGGAUACACUACUUAACUGUGUCAAGGAUGCCACAUUUUCAUCUAUCAAAGAUCUUCGAAUAUUUGCUGGUGGUGUUGAUAUCAAGGUUUCAAAAUACAUCAACAGGUGGAAUGUAUAAGCCAGAUUCAGGAGGGACAUGACUACAAAUAUGAUAAUGAUCAUUAUGGAAACAAGGAUUAUGACGAUCAGAAUGGUCAUAGAAGAGACCUUGAGUAGGGAUAUAGAGAUGAUGAUCGGUAUGACAGAUAUGAGGAUUCAAACAAUUGUGAUGGAGAUUGUUAUGGCAUAGAUUAUGAAGACCGCCACAACAAGGAUGAUGACUAGCGAGGUAGAAGUGUUGAUGAUUAUCAAUAGGCACAAGAUCUAGGAGCUAUGGUAGAGACAGUGUUUUUGAUGAGGAUGGUGCUUCUUCUUGGGGAAUGGUGCUAGAGCUAAUGAUCACUCUCAAGAUGGAAGGCAGCAUGAGCGCAAGCAUUCUCACCAAAAUGCUGGUGCUCCUUGCAGUUAUGUAGAAGCAGUAAGUGAGAUUUAGAUUCCUUCUUAUAGUCAAAGGGGAAGCGAUGCUAGAGCUAAUGAUCACUCUCAGGAUGGAAGGUAACCCUUCUUAUAGUGAAAGGGUUGGCCAAACUUCUGUAGCAAUUGCUCUCGGGAUUUCUCCUCCUGCUAGCAACAAUAAUCCUAACCAAGCAGCCGUUGAUAUUAGUAAUUUAGCUUCUUGAAAUUAUCAAGUGGAGGUCUUUGAUGAAUUUGAUCCAUGCGGUUCACUUUCAGCUGCUCCAACUAUUGUUCCUGCUGCAGCAGUUGUGUCCCUGCUACUGUUGUUCCUUUUGCUUCGAUCAAUGUUGAAACAGACUAUUGGAUGUUAUGUAUGAUGCAUUUGCUAUCCUCCGAGAACACUUGAAAACCAUGCUACUGAUUCUGAUGCCCGUGCCAACUCCUGGUGCUAUGACCACCUUUGCAAUCAGCCAUCAUCUAAUUUUGGAGAUCAGGUUUUGAUGAUCCAUUUAGUGAUGACACUAGUGUAUCCAGCGUUCAACCUCCAAAUUUGGAUACUCAUUCUCUGCCAAUGUUACUCUUCACCUAGUGUAUCCCGUGUUCAACCUCCAUCAACAAACUCUCAGUUUCUGCCUCAAGAAUCGUCAACUCUAAAUCAAGAAAAUGAUAUAUUGGUUGAUGUUUUCUAGCUUCUUUGACCUACACAAUCGAGGGUUAAUAUGUAUGGCCAAUAUGUGCACCCAAGUGCUAAUCCAUAUAGUCCACCGCCACAACCCGGUGCUAAUCCAUAUAGUCCACCGCCACAACCCGGUGCUAAUCAUUGCGGCUAACCCUUAUAGCCAAAUACUAAUUCAUUUGUUCAAUGGAAACAAGUCAUUUAGCUAUAACACAUGAGUGGGUCCGUUCAAGUUAGAUUCGACCCAAUUUUUUGUAGCUCAAAUUAGGAACCCCUCUUGUUAGCUGGUUUAUUUUGUCUAUAAACUCGAUUGUUUGAUUGGCCUGGACCUAACCGUCAAGCCCAAUAGACUCAAUUGAAUUGAGUUUGACCCAAAACUUGUCUCGGUCCAUUUUUGUUUGAGACAAUAUGACACAAGCCUACUUAGUGUGACCUAUUGCCUCUGGAUUUGGUGGCCAAGCCCAAGAAUCUGACCCAAUCAUCUAAACAACUUUGCUUGAGCUUAGGUUGUAUGAGCUCAAAACUAUGUCGAGCCCAACUAAGAUUGACCUAGUACUAUCCCAUAUCUCAAAUAGACAUUUUUAACUCGAUUUUAUCAAUCAAUUUUGACUAAGGUUGGCCUUAUUAAAUUUUGAAUCAUAGCCCGAUUUGUUGACUGAACCAACUUAUCUAUUAUUCUCUAUGAGCUCAUAAGUAUAUCAAGCCCAAAUAGGAUUGACUGAGUACUGACCCAUAUCUCGAAUAGACAUUUUUAACUUUACCAAUUGACUUUGCAAAGGUUGGCCUUUUCCAAUUUUGA